AUACGGAGGAUGCGAGCGUUAUCCGGAUUUAUUGGGUUUAAAGGGAGCGUAGGUGGACAGUUAAGUCAGUUGUGAAAGUUUGCGGCUCAACCGUAAAAUUGCAGUUGAUACUGGCUGUCUUGAGUACAGUAGAGGUGGGCGGAAUUCGUGGGGUAGCGGUGAAAUGCUUAGAUAUCACGAAGAACACCGAUUGCGUAGGCAGCUGACCAGACCGCAAAUGACGCUCAUGCACGAAAGUGCGGGGAUCGAACAGGAUUAGAUACCCUGGUAGUCCGCACAGUAAACGAUGAAUACUUGUUUUCGGCGAUAUAAUGUCGGAGGCAAAGCGAAAGCGAUAAGUAUUCCACCUGGGGAGUACGCCGGCAACGGUGAAACUUAAAGGAAUUGACGGGG
RNAcentral lists this ribosomal RNA (393 nucleotides) under uncultured bacterium. RNAcentral describes it as "partial 16S ribosomal RNA". It matches the Rfam family "Bacterial small subunit ribosomal RNA", at positions 523 to 918 of the family's 1533-position model. The record is from RNAcentral.